GGAAUUUUGGACAAUGGGCGAAAGCCUGAUCCAGCAAUGCCGCGUGCAGGAUGAAGGCCUUCGGGUUGUAAACUGCUUUUGUACGGAACGAAACGGUCCUUUCUAAUACAGAGGGCUAAUGACGGUACCGUAAGAAUAAGCACCGGCUAACUACGUGCCAGCAGCCGCGGUAAUACGUAGGGUGCAAGCGUUAAUCGGAAUUACUGGGCGUAAAGCGUGCGCAGGCGGUUAUGUAAGACAGUUGUGAAAUCCCCGGGCUCAACCUGGGAAUUGCAUCUGUGACUGCAUAGCUAGAGUACGGUAGAGGGGGAUGGAAUUCCGCGUGUAGCAGUGAAAUGCGUAGAUAUGCGGAGGAACACCGAUGGCGAAGGCAAUCCCCUGGACCUGUACUGACGCUCAUGCACGAAAGCGUGGGGAGCAAACAGGAUUAGAUACCCGGG
This 440-nucleotide ribosomal RNA is filed under the name uncultured Variovorax sp. RNAcentral's name for it is "bacterial SSU rRNA". It matches the Rfam family "Bacterial small subunit ribosomal RNA", at positions 358 to 790 of the family's 1533-position model. The record is from RNAcentral. Lineage: Bacteria; Pseudomonadati; Pseudomonadota; Betaproteobacteria; Burkholderiales; Comamonadaceae.